GACGAACGCUGGCGGCGUGCUUAACACAUGCAAGUCGAGCGGUAAGGCCCUUUCGGGGGUACACGAGCGGCGAACGGGUGAGUAACACGUGGGUGACCUGCCCUCAGCUCUGGGAUAAGCCUGGGAAACCGGGUCUAAUACCGGAUAUGACUCCAUGACGCAUGUUGUGGGGUGGAAAGCCUUGUGCGGCUGAGGAUGGGCCCGCGGCCUAUCAGCUUGUUGGUGGGGUGANGGCCUACCAAGGCGACGACGGGUAGCCGGCCUGAGAGGGCGACCGGCCACACUGGGACUGAGACACGGCCCGGACUCCUACGGGAGGCAGCAGUGGGGAAUCUUGCGCAAUGGGCGAAAGCCUGACGCAGCGACGCCGCGUGAGGGAUGACGGCCU
Molecule: ribosomal RNA, 388 nt
Filed under: uncultured bacterium
Lineage: Bacteria
Description: bacterial SSU rRNA
Rfam family: Bacterial small subunit ribosomal RNA
Source: RNAcentral